Molecule: ribosomal RNA, 499 nt
Filed under: uncultured bacterium
Lineage: Bacteria
Description: partial 16S ribosomal RNA
Rfam family: Bacterial small subunit ribosomal RNA
Source: RNAcentral
GACGAACGCUGGCGGCGUGCUUAACACAUGCAAGUCGAACGGGCCCGCUCUCUUUUUUGGGGGUGGGUUGAGUGGCGAACGGGUGAGUAUCACGUGAGUAACCUGCCCCCUGCUCCUGGAUAACUGCUUGAAAGGGCGGCUAAUACGGGGUGUGCCGGCUGGUCCGCAUGGGCCUGGUCGGGAUAGUUUCAUCUUCGGGUGUUUCGGUGGGGGAUGGGCUCGCGGCCUAUCAGCUUGUUGGUGGGGGGAUGGCCCACCAAGGCGGUGACGGGUAGCCGGCCUGAGAGGGUGGGCGGCCACACUGGGACUGAGACACGGCCCAGAAUCCUGCGGGAGGCAGCAGUGGGGGGUAUUGCACAAUGGGCGGAAGCCUGAUGCAGCGACGUCGCGUGAGGGAUGGAGGCCUUCGGGUUGUGAACCUCUUUCUCCGGUGGUGAAGGCCCUGUCCGUUGCGGCGGGGUUGACGGUAGCCGGGUAUGAAGCGCCGGCUAACUACGUG